This 465-nucleotide ribosomal RNA is filed under the name uncultured bacterium. Its description in RNAcentral is "bacterial SSU rRNA". It matches the Rfam family "Bacterial small subunit ribosomal RNA", at positions 28 to 487 of the family's 1533-position model. The record is from RNAcentral.
GAUGAACGCUAGCGGCAGGCUUAACACAUGCAAGUCGAGGGGCAGCACGGGUAGCAAUACCUGGUGGCGACCGGCGCAAGGGUGCGUAACGCGUGAGCAACAUGCCCUAUACAGGGGGAUAAUCCAGGGAAACUUGGUCUAAUAUCCCAUAGUAUUUAGAGGAGGCAUCUUCUAUAAAUUAAAGCUUCGGUGGUAUAGGAUUGGCUCGCGUGACAUUAGCUAGAUGGUGAGGUAACGGCUCACCAUGGCAAUGAUGUCUAGGGGUUCUGAGAGGAAGGCCCCCCACACUGGGACUGAGACACGGCCCAGACUCCUACGGGAGGCAGCAGUGAGGAAUAUUGGACAAUGGAUGGAAAUCUGAUCCAGCCAUGCCGCGUGCAGGAAGACAGCCCUAUGGGUUGUAAACUGCUUUUUAUAUGGGAGCAAUAAGGUCUACGUGUAGACUGAUGAGAGUACCAUAUGAAU